Molecule: non-coding RNA, 1782 nt
Organism: Podarcis lilfordi (Lilford's wall lizard)
Lineage: Eukaryota; Metazoa; Chordata; Lepidosauria; Squamata; Lacertidae
Source: the annotation of a GenBank genome assembly
UUCUGCUGUAGACAUACGGUACAUCAUCCUUCUGUGAUGUAUGUAUGAUGUUUUGGGGGUUGGUCUUGAGCUACAGGGUGGGCAGUUUUAAAAGUCUAUAUAAGGGCUUGCGUAUCAUUGUUCUGGGUUCCUCCUCCCUCCUGCGUGUGGUGAGUGAGAACCCUGUUGCAACAGUUUAAUAAAGAUCAGGCUUACUAGCUGCUUUGCUUCUCAAUAUUCUCUGGUUGGCCUCUGUUAUUUUCUCCUACAGAUAGGGAACUCACUUAAGGACUCUAUACAGUCUCUUGGGUACCCCAUAAGGGAAAAGGAGCAGGUUUUUUCUGUAGCAAUGAUGAGUUAAAAAUCCAGAGAAGUUUGGAUGCUAGAAAGGGAGCCUUUCUCAGUGGCCAAAACCAAUGCCGUUUGGGCACAAACAUAUAUAGCUGCAUCUUUUGCAGUGGACUAAACAUUCAGGGACACGGGUGGCACUGUGGGUUAAACCACAGAGCCUAGGGCUUCCCGAUCAGAAGGUCGGCGGUUCGAAUCCCCAUGAUGGGGUGAGCUCCCAUUGUUCGGUCCCUGCUCCUGCCAACUUAGCAGUUCGAAAGCACAUCAAAGUGCAAGCAGAUAAAUAGGUACCGCUCCAGCGGGAAAGUAAACGGCGUUUCCAUGUGCUGCUCUGGUUUGCCAGAAGCGGCUUAGUCAUGCUGGCCACAUGACCCGGAAGCUGUACGCUGGCUUCCUCGGCCAGUAAAGCGAGAUGAGCACCGCAACCCAAGAGUCGGUCAUGACUGGACCAUUAGGUCAGGGGUCCCUUUAUCUUUAAAAUACUGUCUUAUUUAUUUUAUAGUAGAGUACAUUGUUUAUUAGAGGACGCGGAUGGCGCUGUGGUCUAACCCACAGAGUUUAGGGCUUGCCAAUCAGAAGGUCAGCAGUUUGAAUCCCCACGACGGGGUGAGCUCCCCAGAGCACAACCCCAGAGCAAUAAUUGAUAUGCCGCUAUUUCCCCUUUAGGGUCACGGGUGGCGCUGUGGGUUAAACCACAGAGCCUAGGACUUGCUGAUCAGAAGGUUGGCGGUUCAGAUCCCCACGACGGGGUGAGCUCCCGUUGCUCGGUCCCUGCUUCUGCCAACCUAGCAGUUCAAAAGCAUGUCAAAUUGCAAGGAGAUAAAUAGGUACUGCUCUGGCGGAAAGGUAAACGGCAUUUCCAUGUGCUGCUCUGGUUUGCCAGAAGCGGCUUAGUCAUGCUGGCCACAUGACCUGGGAAAACUGUCUGUGGACAAACAUUGUCUCCCUCGGGCCGUAAAGUGAGAUGAGUGCCGCAACCCCAGAGUCGUACACAACUGGACCUAACGGUCAGGGUCCCUUUACCUUUACCUUACAUUGUUUAUUGCUUUCGUUUUAUGGAUCAGUGGUCUUGUUAGAUAGUAAAAUUCAUGAUAAAUUGCUGUUUUAUGGAUUGUUUUUAAAAGUCUGGAACGGAUUAAUCUGUUUUGCAUUACUUUCAAUAGGAAAGCACGCCUUGGUGUUGGAACGCUUUGGUUUUGGAAUGGACUUCCGGAAUGGGUUAAGUUUGAGAACCAUGCUACCACUUUAUUGGCAACUAAUGCAAAAGGAUGUGCGCUUCUCCUCUCCAUCGGUUCCUCAAAAGAAGAUCGCAUAACCCUCUGCAACGCAAUGGAAUGGUUGAUCCCAUUUAACUCACAAAUACCCACUGUGCUGUAUCACGGGGAACUUGGGGGUAUUCCCUGCUGACAUUAUUGUGACAUGAAUUCUCAGAGAACUCUAUGGAGGCAAAGGAAC